CUUUGCAAGAACACAACUUCGCAUAUAAAAUGCUGCGAGGACGCGCUGCCGAAAAAGGUUUAUUAAUAUGUUUCUCGCUAAUCAGAAACCCCCGUGGCCAAUCAGGACUGAACUCGGUGAAACUUACACAAAAAGAUAAAUAAAAAAACACACUAAUUCAGAACCUUUUAAGAUUAAACUAGAUAAAAUGGCAUUGUUAUUGUGUGUGAUCGUGAAAAUGUACGUAAGUUUUUGUUAGAGCCUAUCCAAAGUUUUACAGGAAUAGAUUUUAUUUGUGCGCCAUCUUGAGGCGUCAACCCUAGUCUCAACGGGUAGUAGACCUUAAAGGGACAAUAAACGAAUUUAUCGCUUUUAGGUAGAACUAAUUAGAUUAUAGCAAGAUGUGACACACCGUCUGUGUGAGUUGAUCUCCUAUGCUUGUGAAAUGGCUGAAGAUGACCACAACAUUCCUGGAAUGGACCGCACAGAUGAAUUUGUUCGUGAGCAGACAGGAUUGACCCUGAACAAUCAACAAGUUAGCGCCAUUCUAGGCUUGUGGCAGAACCUUGAAGAAUAUGACAAAAACAGGAUCGUGUAUGCUACACGACAUCAGGAGUAGUGGCUAACCGGAUGCUUCAGGCUGUGUCCACUCCUGGACACAGCACAAUAGAGAGCACAAUAGUGUGUUGUGUUGCCAGCUUAGUGGUCAAACUGUUGCCUGAUUGAGACUAUCUUUAUAAGGCUGUGCAACAUUCAAACAAGCCCUAAAACAGAGGACAGCACAGCCUAUCAAGCUGGUCUCUAAUUCUACAGGACUACAAAAAGAUCAGGCAGCUGGUUUGAUCUAACGGGACACUAAUGCAGCAGAAGACCCUUCAACUAGUUGAAGUGAACCACAGAGGCAUAACCAGCGGUUGAAGGGCCAGGAGGUGUCUGUUCUGUUGCAGGGAGUACAGCUGCUGGUCGCACAGCCAGUGGCAGGUGAGCCACAGUUUCCUGCAGAAAUAAAGCUUGUCUCUCUGCUCCACUAUCAACACCAGCUGCACUCAUACCACAUGCCACUGAUUACAGCUGGACCGAAAAAAAAAAACGAGUUUCUGGUGAAAUGAGACUGCAGUUGGCUCCAGAGAAGCAUGAGCCCUCCCUCUUUCACUGCUCAGUCUCCCAAGCUUCAAAUUCCUCAGGUCCCAAUGGAGAGAGGCUCAUUUAGCCCAAGUUUGUAGUGUCAUAGCUUGAUUUUGUAUCCGUUGAUGGGAUUUUUUUUUAAAACCGAA
RNAcentral lists this long non-coding RNA (1253 nucleotides) under Takifugu rubripes (torafugu). Its description in RNAcentral is "lncRNA (ENSTRUG00000032493.1)". The record is from RNAcentral. Lineage: Eukaryota; Metazoa; Chordata; Actinopteri; Tetraodontiformes; Tetraodontidae.